RNAcentral lists this ribosomal RNA (478 nucleotides) under uncultured bacterium. RNAcentral describes it as "partial 16S ribosomal RNA". It matches the Rfam family "Bacterial small subunit ribosomal RNA", at positions 28 to 507 of the family's 1533-position model. The record is from RNAcentral.
GAUGAACGCUGGCGGCGUGCUUAACACAUGCAAGUCGAACGAGAAGUGAAGACGGAAACCUUCGGGCGGAAGGCUUUAUUUCGAGUGGCGGACGGGUGAGUAACGCGUGGGUAACCUGCCUCAUACAGGGGGAUAACAGUUGGAAACGACUGUUAAUACCGCAUAAGACCACAGCACCGCAUGGUGCGGGGGUAAAAACUCCGGUGGUAUGAGAUGGACCCGCGUUCGAUUAGCCAGUUGGCGGGGUAACGGCCCACCAAAGCGACGAUCGAUAGCCGAUCUGAGAGGAUGACCGGCCACAUUGGGACUGAGACACGGCCCAAACUCCUACGGGAGGCAGCAGUGGGGAAUAUUGCACAAUGGGGGAAACCCUGAUGCAGCGACGCCGCGUGAGUGAAGAAGUAUUUCGGUAUGUAAAGCUCUAUCAGCAGGGGAGAAAAUGACGGUACCUGAGUAAGAAGCCCCGGCUAACUACGUG